UUUCUUUCUCUGUCUCUUUCUAUAACACUAUUUUCAGAUUGCUGCUGCCUAUAUUAACUAUUACCGUGUGCGGACACGCUGUAUAGAAAAAUUAAAUGAACGGAUUUUCUGCUUCGUAACGUCGAUCGGUUGUGAUUCGAUCAAAUCAAUUCGACGCGGACCGUUUCGGCGUUUAGUUAUAAUUCAUUCGUAAAUCGAAUUGGAUUAGCGGAUUUUGUGUCGUGUCAGACAAACUUAACGGAACCACCAGUGUGUAGUAAAAGGAUUUUAUAAGAUGAUCUUUUAAUUAAUUUAAUUUAAAAUUUAAAAUUAAUAUAUUACAAAGAAAAUAAGAUAUUUCAAUUUAUUAUUUAUAUAUUUCUGUAAAAUGAAUGGUAAAAUAGAGUUUAGAAUUGAUAUUAAAAUGUCAAACUUUUCGAAAAUCCAGUAUUACAUAUAUAUAUUAUAUGAUUUUAAUGAUCUUACCCUUGUUGUACCAACAAGUUUCAUCUCACAAUAACUUUCACUAUACCAUCGAACAGAAGUAUCACUUUAGUAUCUAGUUAUUAUCAUUAGAUUUUCUUAUACGACAAAAACUGUCCUUAUUCGGUAUACCAUCGAUCGAUGUCAAUUUUGCUCGCCACGUAGCGCAUCAGUCGCGCAACGGUUAGGUCUCGAUAAAUUUAAUUGUGCGCUCGCUCGCGAAUCGAUACAUCAUGUAUAUUUAUUACUGGCGUCGCGUGCGUGUAAUUUAGCAAUCGUUCGAUCGCGAUCGUAUAUAAACGGCGUGAAACUCAUCGAGAAGAGCACAUUUCAAGUCACCGGUUAAAGGACCGUCGCGAUUAAGAAUCAGAACUUGAUGCUCAAGGGUUAAGCAAAUUGUUUCUUAAACGAGGCGUUUCUUAGGCAAACUGUCAGAGGGCGCUAGAAAUGUUUCGGUGUGCCAUAAGAUUUAUCGCGCACUCUACGCGCAAUUAAAGAAACGUAUAGAGGGGAGUGAGGGAACACGAACGGGUGCUAGUAACUAAUUCUAGACAGUAUUCUAAAUGCCGAGCGAGAAGUUUUUCGCUUGAUUCUGGAAAUGUCACGUUCCAGCGAUGUUGCAUCUGCGAGCAGAACGAAAUUCUCUGAGUGCCGGUGUGCGAGCAUAGAAACGUGGCUUAAUCGACCAUUGGUCCGGCUAAGUUCGCCACGUGCGUAAAUCACCGCGGAAUCGUUAAUUAACCGGUAGAACGAACGAGCUUUCUGGAAAAUGUCAGCGACCAAGGAGGUUACACAUUGAAUGGACGUUACAUGCAUGCGCGCGCACAUAUCGGAUUGUUGACAGGUACAAAAAGACAUUUCGGCACGAGCGAUCUGCGCGCGCAGGGGAGUCAACGUCUAAUCGAGAGACGUAAUUUGUCGCGAUCUCCGUUGGCGUUAAUUUAUCACGCUUCGAGGAAUUCACGAGUCGGCCGGUCGUGUACAUGCGCGCCCAGAUUAAGCGACGUGGAUAAGGCAGCCUAUUAGCAUCGGUUCAAAUGAGAUUUCCGAAGUAUGUUCGCCGCUGAUCGACUUAUUGUGACCUGCAUGCGCUUUGCAUACAUUUGCGUGCGUCGCGCACGCGCGCGUGCUCGCCUGUCGCCUGUUGCGAUAACAGAAUUUUUAAUGAUUCUACCGCGCACUGUGAUCGAGUUCCCUUUAUAACGCGGAAUGAAUUUGAAAAUUAUUCCAUCAAGAUCUUCAUAUAAAAUCUUAGUUUUUAAUGAGAAAUAAGAUUUUUAUAAGGUUAAAAUUCAGAAAAACAGAAGAGACAAAAUUUAAAAUUGGAUUAUGGAAAUUUCAAUUGAAAAAUCAAAAAAGCAAUGAGAUUCUUAAUCAUUUACAUCAAAUAAACUUAUGUUGACAAAUAAUAAUAUUAAAAAUUUAAAUUUAAUCACAGUGAAUAAAUAAAUAUGAAAAGAGUUAAAUUUAAACAGUCUCAAAAUCGAAGCAUUUACUCAUUCACACGUACAAGUACAAAACAGUGUUGUGACUUAUUUAUUAUCAUAAAAUAAUUAAUUAUUUCAAUUUUUUACUAUUUUCUUCCAAAUAAAAUUUAAAAUAAUUUAAAAAAUGUUUUAGAAAGUCACCGACAAAAAAAAUCAUUAACUUAAUCGCUUAAUAUCUUCCAAAGUUCUCUAAGAUCUCUAUCAUCUUUAUCAAAGUUACAAACACUUUCUCUUCACCAUACAUCGAAUCUCACACCGACGCUGAGAAGGAUUACGAUCAGAAGACGACGAAACAACGGCUCGAUAACUGAUCCAACAAGGGCUAAAGUGUUUCCAAUCCGUGAGCGGCUCGCUUUUGACCGAAACAUUGAAAUUAAUGAAGUCGUCUGACUAGAGCCGAGAGCAGGGUAAAUUAGAGGUACACGGCAACCAUUAGAAUACUUAACGAGGACGUCAUGGUGGGAAGCAGUGCGCGGGUGUGAUGAUGAAUCACUGCCGGCUAGCUCACCGCGGAGCGCGCCCAGGAAUAUUAAAUUAAGUUUACUUAUUGUCGGCCAAAAAGUCUAAGCCGCCAUCCCUUCUUCAUCCAUGUUGGUUCCUCUUCGUUCUUCCAACGACGUUCGGAUGAUUUCACUGUUUCCUCGAAACAUACGGAAGCAAAUGGACGAAUCCGACCGCAACGAGGAUAUUCGUUAUUCCUCGAUGACAUGGGUACACGUAUAUGCAAAAAGUGCAAAGAUGAAAGUUAUAGAAAUUCUUCUCUUAUUAUUAUGUUAUUUUAAUUACCAUUUACAACUUGGAAGGAGUAAUUUCAUGUGGUUUAAAGUGGACAUAAUUACAGAAUAUUAUUAUGAUUUAUUCAAUGCAAUUUUGAUUUGUUCUUAAAUAAUUCAUUGGCUAUGAUCAUAUUGUAUCCAUUAAGUUGCAAAACGAACCUAUAUCUUGUCAGAUAAUGCCAUCUCCGCCACACAGAAGAAUAUAAUUCCUAAUUCAAAACGUCAUUCUAAUGGAUUCGAAUAAGGCGGUAACAAAUUCACGACGUAAAUCCUCCAAACCUAAGUAAUUCCCCCAAUCACGGGGUAAUUUAUCAGAAGAAAUCAGAAUCCCAAAGAAAUUCUCUUCCUUUCACGAGCCACCCGUACAAAGACAAGCGACAAAGGAGAAUUCCAUUGAAUCUCGACGUGAACGUCCUGAGAGCUUUUACCUCUCCGCGUCAACCCUGCUCGCUGUCGCGAUGAAAAGUACGCGUAUCGCAAAAAAGGGCAGCGGUGAGGUUCGCCGCUCCUGAAGAAGAAGAAGAAGAAGAAGAAGGAAAAGAAGGAGGAGAAGAAGAACCGAAGAGGUAAGAAGAAACUUGGGGCGACAAAAAUGGACUUUACAGGGAGAUCUAGAGAGACUUCGCUACCAUCCUUUUUUUUCCUCCCUAUAUUCUUUUUCCAAUUGUCCUUUUUUUUCCCUCCCUUUCUUCUCUCUCUUUCUCUCUCAUUUCUUUCUUUUCGUUUUCUCUUUUUCUUUACCCACUACCUCCCUCUUCGAGGCCCAAGCCGUUCGGGUUAGCGUCUCCUCCGGAGUUGAAAUAUACAAAAUGAAAUAUGAAAUAAUGGUUCGUGCCUUGUGGCUGGCUAAAGGCACGGGCGCACCCAUAUCUACGCCCCCAUGCGCCUAUGUACCUAUACGGCCCGGUAUACGCCGAUCCCGUGUACAUAUGUACGCGCACACCAUAUACAUCCGCCUCGCUCAAGUUUUUCGUUCUUGUCGUGAACAUCUUACGUUCGUAUUAACCCUUAUCCAUGCUUAAUGAUAUUCCGGCCUACUAUGCCCGGACGGGCAUAUUGAACGCAACUAAGGCAGAUUCCAGUCGAACGAGGACGGCCGGCCAAGCCCUCCUGUUGUAAUUCGUAUCUGCGUUCAACCAUUUUUCCGCUUCCUCCAACCAACCAAAGAGGACCGAAGACGACCACGACGACGUCUGGCGGGCAAUUAGGGACCAGACUCGUAGCAUGAAUUAAAGAGUAUCGAUGGACAAACGGGCGUUCGUCCUUAUCGAUCCUCGAAAUAACGCCGCCAAGAUACUUUUUGCUUCUUUAGUGGCACCGAGAUUGGAUUGGUUGUAUGUAGGAAUAAGUGAAUGCGGAUCUUAGGUGGAAGAAUUUAUAGGUUCGCGGUGAAAGAUUGGAUUCGAUUGGUGUAGCGUUUGGGUACGUAUCUGUGUAUGUUAUAGGUAAGAUGGAGUUAUUGCCUUUUUGUGAUUGGUCGAUAUGGAUGAUUGGUUAUAUGGAGUUGUAUAGAUAAGAUAGAUUGUGGACAUUUGUUUUUUUUUUUUUGGGCUUGAUUUCGUUUUUUGUUUUUAUAGAUCUUUGGAUGAAAGUAGAUUGUAUUUAUUUUUUUCGUACUAUCGAUUUUCGGAAUUGUUGAAUUAAUUUUGGUUAGUUUUUAAGAUUUUUGAACGAAGAUAGAUUGUAGAUUUGUGUGUAGUUUGAUGUGAUGGUUUUUAGAGGUUGAUAAAAUUAUUGAUUAUUAGUCGGAUCAAAAGGCGCGAAAUUUGAAGUUUUUUUUUUUUUUUUUUUUUUAAGAAGAGAGAUUAAUUGGUGUGAUGAAAUUAAUACGUUGUUUGCUACUUCGAAACUAAUAUAUAGUAUAUUAUUAUAUCCAACAUUUAUUGUGUAAUCAUUUGAAAAUGCAAAUGUGUAUUUUUAAUAUGUGCAAUAUACGCUUCAUCCUUUUCCUGUUUAUUUCAAUUA
This is a long non-coding RNA of Apis laboriosa (Himalayan honeybee), 4690 nucleotides long. RefSeq lists it as uncharacterized. The transcript is spliced from 4 exons. Lineage: Eukaryota; Metazoa; Arthropoda; Insecta; Hymenoptera; Apidae. The record is from RefSeq and is a predicted model, not a curated record.